CGCGCGCUGAGCUGCUGCCGGAGAGUCAGGAGCGUGUGCGCGCGGGGCCUAAGGGAGCCGGACCAAAUAGGGGCGGAGCGGGGAGAAGGAGGAGGGCCGAGCUCGCGCCCAGGGGGUGGGCUCGAGCCAGCCGGGUUUCUUUGGCACGCGGUCCUGGCCACUCAGAGAGCCCGGCGCCUGUGGACUGACAGGCAGAACGAGAGAGGGGAGGGGGUUGUAGGGAGAGGGGGACACAACACCGAGGGGAGGUCGCGGCUGAGGUCGCUACAUAAUUAAUACACUCCACUCCCUGCUCCAGGCUGGAGGCUUGCAGAAGCUGGGGGAAGGACGCACUGGGGGGGCCAGGGUAGAGCCUCGAAACUUGUGCCGGGCUGUUGCUGGUGGUGCCGCCGGGGAUUACGGGGCCAAGACCCUCUGUCCCACUUCCUCCCCUUGCCGCGGGAUCCAGCUUCACCCAGGGAGCUGCUGGUGCUGCCCUGAGUGCGAAGAAAUUCGGAGACCCGAGCGUUGAGGCUUGGCGCCCCUUGGGAGCCAGAACCGGGGCUUGCACCCUGGAAGUUUUUCCUCCACCGCUAACUUUGUCUCUGGAGGAGAGAUUCCAGGCAGGUGUGUGAGCGCUGCUGGCCGGCGGGGCUUUCUGGGGAGGCACAGCUGACUACCAAGAUGAAGAACUGAGACUCAGAAAGUAUGCUACAACAGAAAAAGCUCUGACUGUGGAGUCAGAGAACUUGUUUCUAACACUGUCUGCGUAACCUUGGGUGCCUUGAUGCCAGGGAAGGGGUGCCAUGGAUAAUGGACACAGAAGUUCUCUAGGUAUUAAUAAAGAUGUUUAAAAGAUAAGUGACCUCCAGGCCAGAGAAUCAGUUGGUUCAGAAGACCCAAGAAGAGAUCUUGUGCCAAGAGAACUGGUUUUUGAUGGAUGAACCUAAGGCUGUAAUGAGGAUAAUUUCCUGCCCAUAGGAAAUGAGUGUUGGAAAAAACCUGUUCCCUGUUGCCAAAUGGAUACUACAUCCCACUCAAAUCCUGCUGAAAUAUAACCUUAUUGUUAUUUUUCCUAAAAGACAUUAUCAAAAACAGAAUUGUUGGCUUUGGAAAUGUGACGUUGUGACUACAAGAACCAAGUGCUCCGCAACCUCUAAUAAUUCAGAAGACCUCAUGUAAUAUCCCAAAGACCUAGUGAUGACCGGCCUUCUCUAACAGAGCCAACAAAGUCCAGUUGUAGAAAGUUGUAAGAAAGAAGAAAAAAGAAAGAGGAGAAAAAGUAAUUCAACAAAACCAACCAACCCAUUACCCCAUGGGACAAUAUAUACCCAUAGUUUUGUACCCAUAGCUCUCCACCUUUGCAAAGAGAGGAGGGAAAUGUGUCUUCUUCCUCUUUUCUUCAGGAGCAACCCUGAUCAUUAUUGUGAUUAUCAGGAGCUAGGUGAAGCUGUGACUUUUGUUCUUUCUGUAUACUUCUCAGUCUAGGAAACCCAUAGAAGACCCUGUACAAUCCUGUAAAGUGCGUUAUCCUUGUCCUCAAUACCAAAUGAUGCUUCUUAAGCGUCCACCUAUGAGGGUGGAGGAGGGAGGAAGCUAGGCCAAGUUAUGAAUGAAGCAAGCUAACCACUAUCCUUGCUGCAUAUGGCUUUGUUAAAAAAAAAAAAAAAGACAGCUGCUAUGUGGACACGAGAACAGAAAGCUGUAAAGUAACACUCAGUUAUGUAGCACCGAGAAGAAAAAACAUGGCAGGAUCACAAACUUUGUUAGUUUAAUAAAUUAACUCUUUAUAUUAGAGUUAUUUCACAUUUAUGUGCACAUUGUAUGACUUUAUAUGGUUCACAAGAAUUGGGAUAGAGCAAAGGAUAUAUCAUCAAAAAAAUCAAUAAAUCAACUUCAUUCUUAAAAUGAAGACUUAAGAUAAAAAGAAGACUUAAGGCAGAGGGUAAGGUGAUUGAAAGGCAGUGGAAAUCAUCAAAAAUCCUAUUUGGUGCCACUCUGAAGAAUUCUAUAGGUAGGGCUAGAUUUCAAAGAAAAUUGCUAUGAUCUUAACUCCAUCAGGGAUGGACAAAUACUUUAGCCUCGCCCAUUUUUUUUGUUUGUUUAUGGUUUCCAGUGGUGUUACUGUUCCAGAUUUAACCCCUACAGCCAUAUACCAGCUUAUAAUGACUAAUACCAUAUGUCAUUGUUUUGGAAACUUUAGCAUGUUAAUAGUUUGUGUCUUCGAGCCUUGAUUUCUGCUCUGACCCCUUUAUUCUCAACAUGUGCCUGUCUGAUACAUUUAAAUCAACAACUAUGUGUCAGGUACUAUACUAAGCAAUGGAGCUGGACACACCCACACCCACACCCACACCCACACACACACACACACACACACACACACACACACACACACACGCGCGUGCGCACACACACAAUGAAUUAGAGAUAGUUUUGGAGAGGAAGCACUAGUUAAUGGUACAUAAUAAGGGAGAGUGGAAAAUCCUUCUUAUAGAACGUAGAAUUUUAGUUGAGAUUUGAAGAAGGCCAGGAGGAAAAAGGUCAUUCCAGGCAUAGGUUUGGUUCAUUGACAAUGAUCAGUCAGGAGAUGGAGUGUCUUUGUGAGAAACAGCCAGGAGGCCACUGCCAAUGGAUUGUAGAGUACCUGUAAGGGGGUAAGGUGUGAGAAGUUUAGAAAGGCAGCCCAAUGGGAUUUAAGCUUUUCUGUGAUAUUUCUCCCCAUCUUCCCCUGGCCACGGGUGACCUUUCAUUUGUGUGCUUCAUUCUCUUCUAACACUGUAGAGACCUUGCUCCAACAAUUAUCCCUUCACUGACAUCUUCAACCUAUCCUCUUUAUCCACUGCCUCCUUCCCAGCCAGUACAAAUAUGCCUCAGUAUCCCUGAAUACAAACAAAAACCCUUCCGUCUGUCCUGCUACACCUCCGACUGUCCUGCCCCUCCCUCGUUGUUCCUCUUAAUUGCCAAUGUCCUUGAGUAGUCUGUGAUUAUUGACUUCUGCACAACACUGAGAUGCACGCUGAGAGGCAAUCGCAAACCUUCCAACUGUCAAAUCCAAAAGUCUUUUCCCAGUGUUCAGUUUCUUUGACCUGUCUGUAACCAUUUGCUGUUGAUGACUUCCUCCCUCUGGGUACUUUCUGCUCUUGGCUCCCAUGGCACUUCCAUCUCCUUAUUUCCUUAUUUUAACUGUGGGACUAUUCUUUCUCUGGCUUUUCUUUUUUCCCCCUGCCCUUUACAUGUCAUGAGUGACAUUAAGCAACUUGCUAAAGUCAUAAAUGCAGUAAGAAGAAUCCAAAGGGGACUUUGACCCUAGGAUUCUGUGACUUCAGUGCCUAUACUCUUUCUAUUGCAUCAUGCUGCAGUUGUCUGUGCAAAGUCUUUCUCUCUUCUCUACAUUCUCUCCUUUUGUUAUCUCUUCCACUCACAUACCACUAUUGCUUUAUGUGGAAUGACUGCCAGGAGAGUAGUUCAUUAGUAUAAGUCUUGGGCUUAGUCUAGAAGACCAGUCUUGCAUCUUCCUUUAGUAAAUGAUGCUUGUGCCUCCCAAUACAUAACCUCUCCUGUCUCACCUUUCCCUUUCCACUGUCACCAUCCUAGUUCAAGCCCUUAUAGCGUCUCUUUUGGAUAGUUGCAGUUCUAGCCUCUGCCCGCUCUGAUCUAUCCAACCCACUACUAUAAGUAAUCUCCUGAUCCAUAAGAAUAGUCACAUUACUCUAUCGUUUAAAAAUAUUCUGUGACACUUUGCCCUGUGAUUCAAGAGUGUUAUUUGCAUGUAUAUUUUUGUUUAAAAUUAAACAAAGAGUCAUUCCAUCUAAGUUUUUAGAUUCUAUAUCCUGCUUAGUUAAGAAAUACAAAAUCUUCUGUUUGGCAUUCAAAUUCCUUUAUAACUUGGCCCCCUCCUACCUUUCCAGCUCCUUAUCUACCUUAUUCCAUUUCCCACCCCCCUUCCCAACACACACACACACACACACACUAUGUACUCUCUGAUCUAGUCAUUGGCUAGCAUCCUUGCUAUUCCUCACACAAGGCUCUUGUCAAGUAACUUGUGCCAUUUUCACUGUCUGAGCCCCUUCCCUGGUCUGCUGUCCCUCAUCAUCUCUACUUCCUGGCUCCCUUCAAGUCCCAACUAACAUCUUUUACAAGAAGCCCUUCCUAAGCUCCUUUAAGUUUUUUCCCUCUGUUGAUUAUCUUCAAAUUUAUCAUGUAUUUAUCUUUUUUGUACAUAGUUUUUAUGUAUGUUGUU
Molecule: non-coding RNA, 4219 nt
Organism: Phascolarctos cinereus (koala)
Lineage: Eukaryota; Metazoa; Chordata; Mammalia; Diprotodontia; Phascolarctidae
Source: RefSeq, a predicted model, not a curated record